This 325-nucleotide small nucleolar RNA is filed under the name Kazachstania africana CBS 2517. RNAcentral describes it as "Fungal small nucleolar RNA U3". It matches the Rfam family "Fungal small nucleolar RNA U3". Rfam says of the family: Small nucleolar RNAs (snoRNAs) are involved in the processing and modification of rRNA in the nucleolus. There are two main classes of snoRNAs: the box C/D class, and the box H/ACA class. Lineage: Eukaryota; Fungi; Ascomycota; Saccharomycetes; Saccharomycetales; Saccharomycetaceae. The record is from Rfam by way of RNAcentral.
GUCGACGUACUUCAUAGGAUCAUUUCUAUAGUAAUCGUCACUCUUUGACUCUUCAAAAGAGCCACUGAAUCCAACUUGGUUGAUGAGUGACAAAACCUUCAUGCCCUAGAGUGAGAAACCAGAAAAUUUUUAAAUAGCUUGGUCCGCAAUUCUUAGCAAUUCGGCCAUCUAAUCAAAAAUGUUCAUAUGCUUUGCCGGUUGCAUUUCAACAACUUACCUAGUAGGUUCGUUGAGUUUUAAUUGGCGCGAUGAUCUUGACCCUUUCCAUGUACUCUUUCGAAGAGAGAUGGAAUUUAGGGUGGGCGUGAAUGGUAGUCUGACAAGU